GACGAACGCUGGCGGCGUGCCUAAUACAUGCAAGUUGAGCGCUGAAGGUUGGUACUUGUACCAACUGGAUGAGCAGCGAACGGGUGAGUAACGCGUGGGGAAUCUGCCUUUGAGCGGGGGACAACAUUUGGAAACGAAUGCUAAUACCGCAUAAAAACUUUAAACACAAGUUUUAAGUUUGAAAGAUGCAAUUGCAUCACUCAAAGAUGAUCCCGCGUUGUAUUAGCUAGUUGGUGAGGUAAAGGCCCACCAAGGCGAUGAUACAUAGCCGACCGGAGGGGAGGAUGCGACACACCGGAACGGAGAGACGGUCCAGAAGCCUACGGGAGGCAGCAGGUGGGAAUAUGGGAGAAGGUGCGAAAGCAUGAUCCAGGGAUACCGGGGGGGUGAAGAAGGGCUUCGGGUUGGAAAACCAGUUGGGUGUGAAAGAAAAGAAGCAGGUGAAGAACCCGAUGUUCUGACGGUACCCAAAGAAUAAGAAACGGCUAACUUCGUG
This 496-nucleotide ribosomal RNA is filed under the name uncultured bacterium. Its description in RNAcentral is "partial 16S ribosomal RNA". It matches the Rfam family "Bacterial small subunit ribosomal RNA", at positions 28 to 507 of the family's 1533-position model. The record is from RNAcentral.